ACCUCCAUAUGCCAUGGGUGUGGCCCUAAAAAAAAAAGAGAGAGAGAGAGAGAGAUGGAAGUUACUUGCCUCUGGGCCAUGCCACUGGGUCCCCUUUUCAGGUGUAUGGAUACAUACGUGUCAUCAAAAGAGGAGAUGCAUUACCAGCAUUAAUCACUUGCCAUUUUUAGUAACCUUCCCUAAUAGAUCUUUCUUAUGUCUGACCAAUAUCUUUCAUAUUGUGACUUUUCUGAUGAGGUUAUUUUUUCCACAGUGGAAAUGAAAGAAAUCAUUCAUCAUCCUCUUUUCACACAACAAAUAUAUAGAGGACUCUCCAAGUCACCGUUAGGCAUUGUUUCAUUUCUUUUCUCAUUUCCAACGUGCUGAUCAUCUUUGUUACUGUCACCAGCCCUGUCCAGUCCCCUAGAUCCACAAACAUCCACUGAAGUAGGUCAUUUACGAGCACUCACUAGCACAAGUAAUGACGUGGUGGCCGCUUGGCUCUGGAGUGUUCUAUGGGGUGAAUGUCUUUCCAAAUUGGAUUUGCUUUAAGAAACUAACAUCUAUUUCAACAUCUAUCAUGUGACAGGCACAGUGCUGAUUUGUGUAGCCCAUGAGCUAUGUUUCCUUCAGCUCAUUCUGCUAGAAUAAAAUUAAUUCUACCUGGGGAUGGGGAGGAGCCCUUGCAGGCUUCUCAGGGCUGUAGUCCCCAAAGAAGCUGGGGAGGAGGUUGCAGAUUUGGGCAGAAACCAAUGUGACAAAGAGGCAGCCGAUGAAGCCUAUGAGCUGUUUCCUACCCCAGUGACUGUUUUAGAAACUUUCUCUGUCACUGUGGAAUUACAGAGCAUUGGGCUGAAAAAAUUGGGAGGUGGUCUGAGCCAGUCCACAGUGUCAUGGUGAGGAUUUAUCACCCAGGCAAGAUCCCAGCUCCGCCACUUGCUACUUGAGAGAUUUUGGGAAAGUUGUCUGUCCUCUAUGAACCUCAGGCUCCUUCUCAUAAAGUGGACUGUUAAUUAGUACAUUGCAGGAUUUGCAUGAGGAUUAAGUGAGAUAAUACAUGCAAAGUGCUUAGGACAUGAUAGCUAUUAUUUUGCACAGUUGUCUGUUUGCUACUUAGAGUUUUCUAGGAAUGGAGUCACUGUAUCUAUGGGCUUAUUUUCUAGUGUGUUAUCAUCAAUCAAGUGACCGAGAUUCCUUCCUUACAGUCAACACUGAAAUCAGUCCAGUUUGAGCUGCUUUUGUUGGAGUUGAUGUCUUCCUUCCGGAAACUUUCCGUCACCAGUGAUGUUUCCAGCAGAGAACCCAAUGCUCAUGACUCGGUGCUUCACUCAGAUGCUGCAAACCUGACUGACUCCUAAAGCCACAAAGGCCAUUUCCGGCUCAGGAAGCGGAAGAAGGGAAGUGUGGGGACCAAUACGAGAUGCUCGAGGAGAAGGCAGACCCUGCUCAAGAGCGGAGUCCACAGUCCCAGAGGCUGCCUUGUCCAGGUCAGAGUUUUCCGAUAUUUUUAUCUCUUCUUGCCAAGUAAUAGCUAAGCAAAAUGUCCCGCUGGUUCCACUCAGUCAUUGGUCCUGAUUUGGAGAAAUGAUAUGGCUCAAUUGCCGCAGAUGGCAGUUUGGCCUGGAAAACACAGGGAGCUGUCACCAGAAGAGGCUGGAGGGUCUGGAAGCAAGCUCAGGUUUAUUUGAGAGUCCCAGCCCCUCCUCAUCCUGGGAAUAUGAGGACCCUCCCCUCCCCCACCCCAGGAUGUGAGGACUUCCCAAAUUGUGUGUGGGCAAGUGUCAUUCAAGGUGGUCAAUUUCAAGAGACUUGUUCCAACGUUUAUGUGUCCUGAGACGGUACCUGUGGCCAUUCUGGUUUCUGGCUCUCUCUUCUUCUACAAUUAUCUUCUUUCCGAUUCACUGAAAGGUGUUUAUCUCAGCCUCCAGGAUAAGCGUUUAUCUUACUGCACUCCCCAGGGAGUAAAAACCUCCAGGGUGCCAAACAAAAUGGCAGGUUUUUUUUUUCUUUUCCCCUUCUUCUGCUGCAUCUGUGGCAUAUCGAAGUUCUAGCCUAGGGGUCAAAUGCGAGUGCAGCUGCUGACCUACACCACAGCCACAGCAAUGUCAG
Molecule: non-coding RNA, 2088 nt
Organism: Sus scrofa (pig)
Lineage: Eukaryota; Metazoa; Chordata; Mammalia; Artiodactyla; Suidae
Source: RefSeq, a predicted model, not a curated record